RNAcentral lists this ribosomal RNA (1081 nucleotides) under uncultured bacterium. RNAcentral's name for it is "partial 16S ribosomal RNA". The record is from RNAcentral.
CUAAACGACCGCGCGAUGUUAUNGCUCAAGCUGNAGGCCGUGUCGGUUUAAANUCUCAACNCUGGCCGUUACGUUUUACAGGAUCACCUCCUUAGAGUUGAUCAUGGCUCAGCUGGAACACCUCCUUAAGUGAUCAUGGCUCAAUGAACGCUGGCGGCGGCCUAACACAUGCAGUCGAGCGGAAGCACAGGGAGCUAUAGCUACCUAGAGGUAGACGAGCGGCAGGACGGGUAGAAGUAAUAGUACUAGGGAAACUAGCCUAGAUAGGAAGGGGGAUAACUACUAGGAAACUGGUAGCUAAAUACCCGCAUAAACGUACUAUCCGGACCAAAAGUAAGGAGAGGGACCUAUACGAGGCCUACAUAGCUCAUACAGAUAGUAGCCCAAGAUAGGGAUNAAGCUAAGUAAGGGUAGGAGAGUAAACGGGCUACACCUAAAGGCGGACCGAUACCCUAANCUAAGGGUACUAGAGACAAGGGAUAGACCCANGCCAACAACCUAGGGGAAUCUUAAGAAGAAACAAACGNGGUACCAAGAAACUUACCUCUAACGGAGGACGAGACAAAGCCACAAGUNAAGGGGAGGGAACAUAAAUAAGGCCGACCACAUAGGGGGGCGGCCAAAGGCCCCUAAGGAAUAAGCCAGGCCCANUAGUCCCGCGGUAGUAAUAGAACAAGNAAAAGGGGCCUUAAUAUACCGGGAGGUUUAUAGGUCACACACGGUUAAACCCUAUAUCCAAGGCCGGAAGGGCAACGNCGGGAACAAACGCGGGGCCAGUUNACAGAGGCGGGUUNACAACAAGAAAAAAACCCCCCUAUAAGGGGNGUUUGGACAAUUUAUAUGGGAACACCGGUUAAAAAACACNUANACGGGCCACAAGGAAACAACGACAACAAGGGCCACACCCCGAGGAGCNGUAAAAAGACCUAUACCCCAGCGGAUAGGUAGCCCCCAAAAGACCCAAAGAGCCACGCGCGAGGGAGUACAAAAAUAAACCUGCAGGAAAAGGAGGGGUAAUGCCACAACGGGCCAGGUGGUAACAAAACUACACCGGGCGAAAAUACAUAACNCAANGGCGCGA